Molecule: long non-coding RNA, 1339 nt
Filed under: Cairina moschata (Muscovy duck)
Lineage: Eukaryota; Metazoa; Chordata; Aves; Anseriformes; Anatidae
Description: domestica (muscovy Duck (domestic type)) lncRNA (ENSCMMG00000003497.1)
Source: RNAcentral
UCCUCCUCCUCCUCCUCCUCCUCCUCCUCCCCCCCCGGGGGUGGGGCCGGCGCGGGGGGAGCCUUCGGGGGCAUCUUCGUCAUCCUCGGCGUUGGAAGAGCCCUUCAGCGGCGGCGUCAACGUCAACGUUUUGAAGAGCCCGCCCAUUGUUGUUGGCCUUGGAAGAGCCCCGUGGUCAUCGUCAGCGUGAUGAAGAUCUCCCAUCAUCAUCGUCAUCAUUGGAAGAGCCUUCGUCAUCAUCAUCGUCAUCAUCAUCAUCAUCAUCAUCAUCUUCAUCAUCAUCGGCGUUGGAAGAGCCCUUCGGCGGCGUCAUCACUGUCGGCGUCAACGUUUUGAAGAGCCCGCCCAUUGUUGUCGGCCUUGGAAGAGCCCCGUGGUCAUCGUCAGUGUGAUGAAGAUCUCCCAUCAUCAUCGUCAUCAUAGGAAGAGCCUUCGUCAUCAUCAUCAUCAUCAUCUUCAUCAUCGUCAGCGUUGGAAGAGCCCUUCAUUGUCAACGUCAUUGUCGGCGUCAACGUUUUGAAGAGCCCGCCCAUUGGUGUCGGCCUUGGAAGAGCCCCGUCGUCAUCGUCGGCGUGAUGAAGAUCUCCCAUCAUCAUCGUCAUCAUUGGAAGAGCCUUCCUCCUCAUCAUCAUCAUCGUCAUCAUCGUCAACGUUGGAAGAGCCCUUCAUCGUCGUCGUCAUUGUCAACGUCAACGUUUUGAAGAGCCCGCCCAUUGGUGUCGGCCUUGGAAGAGCCCCGUCGUCAUCGUCAGCGUGAUGAAGAUCUCCCAUCAUCAUCGUCAUCAUUGGAAGAGCCUUCCUCCUCAUCAUCAUCAUCUUCAUCAUCGUCAACGUUGGAAGAGCCCUUCAUCGUCGUCGUCAUUGUCGGCGUCAACGUUCUGAAGAGCCCGCCCAUUGGUGUCGGCCUUGGAAGAGCCCCGUCGUCAUCGUCAGUGUGAUGAAGAUCUCCCAUCAUCAUCGUCAUCGUCAUCAUCAUCUUCAUCAUCAUCAUCUUCAUCAUCAUCGGCGUUGGAAGAGCCCUUCGGCGGCAUCAACGUUUUGAAGAGCCCGCCCAUUGUUGUUGGCCUUGGAAGAGCCCCGUCGUCAUCGUCGGCGUGAUGAAGAUCUCCCAUCAUCAUCGUCAUCAUUGGAAGAGCCUUCGUCAUCAUCAUCAUCGUCAUCAUCAUCAUCAUCUUCAUCAUCGUCAACGUUGGAAGAGCCCUUCAGUGGCGGCGGCAUCGUCAUCGGCGGCGUCGGCGGCGUUGUCGGCGUCAACGUUUUGAAGAGCCCGCCCAUUGGUGUCGGCCUUGGAAGAGCCCCGUGGUCAUCGUCGGCGUGAUGAAGAUCUCCCAUCAUCAUC